This is a non-coding RNA of Schistosoma rodhaini, 45 nucleotides long. Lineage: Eukaryota; Metazoa; Platyhelminthes; Trematoda; Strigeidida; Schistosomatidae. The record is from Rfam.
AUCCAGAUGACGAGUCCCAAAUAGGACGAAACGCGGGUCCUGGAU